RNAcentral lists this transfer RNA (74 nucleotides) under Candidatus Moraniibacteriota bacterium. RNAcentral's name for it is "tRNA-Val". It matches the Rfam family "tRNA". Rfam says of the family: Transfer RNA (tRNA) molecules are approximately 80 nucleotides in length. Lineage: Bacteria; Candidatus Moraniibacteriota. The record is from RNAcentral.
GGACGAUUAGCUCAGUUGGUUAGAGCAUCUCGUUUACACCGAGAGGGCCGCUGGUUCGAGUCCAGCAUCGUCCA